This 2645-nucleotide long non-coding RNA is filed under the name Salmo salar (Atlantic salmon). Its description in RNAcentral is "lncRNA (ENSSSAG00000007103.2)". The record is from RNAcentral. Lineage: Eukaryota; Metazoa; Chordata; Actinopteri; Salmoniformes; Salmonidae.
CUCAAAUUCUUGUACUGUCUGUUCAUUUUAUACCCUAACAUUUUUUUUUCAUAGAAUAAAUGCCACUGGAAAUGAUCCAACUUUCAACAUUAGAAUGAGAAUUUUAUCAGAAUGGAACAUAUGCUACUUCAGGAUGGUGGUACACAGACCACCCCCCACCCUCUGGACCUGCCCAUCCAAGGAAAGAUCCCUUUUUAUCUCUGGGGUCUCCAAUGUCUACCACACAACCAAGCUCUGUGAGAGGGGAGGUCAGAGAAACUUAGCACUCAUCAUGUCAUCAUGUCAGUUGGUCCAGCUGAAGAGUGACUUUGACCUGAUGGACCCUAAUGUCUACCUGUUGAGCUCUGGGUACAGCAGUCUCCAUGACCCAAACCUCAGGAAAUACCUCCACCGCAAAGACAUCCACCAACACCUCGUUCCCUGGGCUUCAUUACUAAGGAUGAGAAAGUUACUGAUCUUUCAGUCUUUUACAAUGUGCCCUGCUGAUUCCUUUUAUGAACUAUAUCAUAAUGUUUGGUGUGAUUGUAAGAGUUUUAGUGCACUUGGAUAGUACUGACACCACAACAUAACAUCCCUCAGGAAAAAUAAAGUUAUUCUAAAUAGAAGUUGUUGUCCUUAGACGCAUCCACGUCUCUGCAGGCUCCACCUGCAGGUCUGAACUGUUGUGGAAUACUAAAGGUUGUGCGUUGCUGCAGGAGGUCACCAAGGAGGUGAAGAGAGAGAUGAGGCUGGAACGAGGCUGGGUCACAAACUAGCAGGAGAAAGAGAAAAUGAAACGAGAGAGACAACAGAACAGACUGUGUCUCAAAAGGCCAGAAGAAAGAGAGGCAUUCCCCAACCAAGACAGAUUCACAAGACAAUCCGGAGAGCAUGGAAAACAUCCUGAUAUCAGUAUCAGAUCCUGACAACACCCAAGAAACUGAGGGCUCAGGGCUGGUUGACUCUGUCUCCUUCACCUUGGCAACCUGUGGCAGUCUGAUUGGACAAGCUGGCUCCCUUCAGUCCAUCACCCAGCAACUGUCUGAAAUACACAACAGCCAAGAACAAACUUCUGGAAGUGUCAACUAUUGCAGACACAACAGCCAAGACUGAACUUCUGACUAUUGAAGAUACAAUGGCUAAACUGGACAUAGAGAAAGAAGAGAUUAUUGCUGAUGUGAUACCCAAGACUGAAAGUAAGGAGUUGGCCACUGUUGCAGGUACAACAGCCAAGAUUGAAGUUCAAGAAGUGGAGACAACUGCAGAUGUGAUGGUCAAGACUGAAGUCAAGGAAGUAGUUGAGAUUACCAAGAGCGACACCCAAGAGGCAAAGGUAGAGGCUAGUUUUGAGACAGAGAUCAAGCUGACUGAGGGGUUGAACAUUGACACUAAAAUGGAAGAAGAAGCCAAUGCUGAGAUCAAUGCAGAUAAACAAGACAAUACUAUGUCUGAGAAUAACACCAGGAGCUAUGAGCUUAUUCUAACAGCUGGAGAGUCCAAAAUAGAAGUCAGAGAUUAAAAAAUAGAAUCCAAGAUAGAAUUUAGGGAUAAGAAUAUUGAUGCAAAUAAUGAAACUAUGGAUGCAAAGGAUUCUGUUGAGAAUGCAUAUGCUGAGAAGAGUGAACACAGCCAUGGCAGUCAUGGAAGCCCUGAGCUAUCUCAGUCAUCAUCAGACAAUGAUGAAGGUGGUCCUUCGAUGUUCCCCAUAAUCAGCAUGUUGAAGAGCGCUGCCCUGUCCUCAGACCAGGUUAAUGAGAUCAUAGACAAGGUGAUCGACGUCCUGACUGGGGAGGGCCACGAGGUCAUCUUUUCCGAGGACAGGCCAAGUGUCACCUCCAGCCCAGAGUACCAGCCAAAGAACCUGCAUAGGCCACAGUGUUCAGAGGAGAUUCACUGCUGAGUCUCAUUCCAAGCUCUUGCCAUGAAGCAAACUGAAAUGGGUGGAGCUGAUUAGUAUGCUGUGUAUAUUGAUGACCAAAUCCAUUAGCUCCCUGUCUCUGGAUAGAGCUUUUCAGGUUCCAGUUGAUGCAGUCUCAGAUACAAAGGAAAGGAAAGCUUCUGCUGUGAAGUUUAGUACGAAUACCAGAACACUGGUGCCAAUCCCCUCCUCGCCCCACCCUCACUAAGCCUGUCCAAGACGACAGCAGGAGGAAAAUCCGACCUCUCCAGACUGCCAAGAGGAAAGUAUCCCAAGGGUUAGAGGCAGACCUGUAGCCAGAAGGUCACUGGUUGAAAUCCCAGGCAGGGCAAUGAAAAUGUGGGUACUGAAAUUGCAAUUCAAGGGCUGGUGGUUUCAGAGAACAUUUUGAAUAUCCUUUGCAAAAUGCACUAAUAAAGUUAUAUUCUUUCUUCCCUUAUUCUCAACAAAAGAAAGGGUGGUCAACUCCAUGGUCUUGGACAUUUCCAGGACCACUAGUAGAAGCAGUGGGAUGGUGGCUCAGCUGGGUUGUCCAGUCAAGAGCAACAACAGUCUGUUCAGCGAGCUUCCAAGCCCCUCUGCAGCCACCUCAAACACAUCCCUGGGCGCCUCUGAGAUCAUUGCGAAUCUGGAUUCUCCAGACUUCAUGUCAUCCAGUAGCAACACCAGCCCAAGCCCCCCAAAGGAACAGUAGUGACAACAGUCAACUAAUGGAACUGCAGAAACUGCGUUUUCUAAAUAUCUAGGC